CGCAGAGGGGCGGUGGCCACGUGACCGGACAACCGCGCGCCGGGUCCCGGGUCCCGGCGUCCGCCCGGUGGCCCCCGCCGGCUGCGGGCGCGCUCGGCCUGCUUCCCGCCCCCCCCACCCUUCUCCUAACGCUCCGCGCGGGCCACUCGGGGGUGGUGCGGCGGCGACGGCGACUCCGGUCCGGGCUCCCUGACCUGUAACCUCCCGGGGACGCUGACGAGCAGCCGCGCUCAGCUCAAGAACCACCCCCUCCAAGUUGUCUUCCUGGAUUUACUCGGCACCAAAGUUAGCCUUCUCUUUCCUGGGGCUCGGCAGCCUGGAAAGAGAAACGGUGGUGGUGGAUGAUUGCAGUGAUCCCGAUUUGGAAGUUGUGUGGCAGGUGACUUAGAAGGAUAAGUGGAGCCCGGGGAUGGAGGCACCGACAUGUCUUCUGAACAAAGGGAGAGCGAAUAUGGCGGCGGCGACGGGAGCCACGUGCUGUAUUCCAACAGCCUGUGAAAAACUGAAUCCUUCAAAGAACGAUGUGAGUGAACUUGGAAGCAGAUGCUCUCAGUAGAGCCUUCAGAUGAGACUGCAACCCUGGCUGACACCUGAUUGCAGCACUCGCGAGAGACCUUGAAGCAGAAGCCACAGAGAGUGAGAGUGCAAGCAGGGGAGAGGGAGAGAGAGAGAGAGAGAGA
Long non-coding RNA from Acinonyx jubatus (cheetah), 680 nucleotides. RefSeq lists it as uncharacterized. The transcript is spliced from 6 exons. NCBI's taxonomy places the organism in Eukaryota, Metazoa, Chordata, Mammalia, Carnivora, Felidae. The record is from RefSeq and is a predicted model, not a curated record.